This 614-nucleotide unclassified non-coding RNA is filed under the name Hevea brasiliensis (rubber tree). Lineage: Eukaryota; Viridiplantae; Streptophyta; Magnoliopsida; Malpighiales; Euphorbiaceae. The record is from RNAcentral.
AUCAUCACAUAAAUCAAGUCCCAAUUUUUGUCUAAAAUGAUGAUGGUGUGACGCAUGCCAUAUAUGAAUGUGCUUUGUCUCAUCCUUUGAAUAAGUGGCCAAACUAACAUUCAUGCUUAAACCAUCAGCCUCAACCCUGAAAUCAUGGUCAUGAAUGUGCAUUGCCUUGACUUCUAAACCUGGGGAACCAAUUUCUCCAAGCUCAAUCAGAUACUUCCCAUCUGGCUUGUAAGUGAUGGAAAGUGUCACUGUCAAAUCAUUUGAGCCACUGCCAUCAUAUUCAUUGUCCCACUCAAAUACCAUAGUACGCCUAGCAAGAUGAUGGACUCUGAAAGGAGGAUGAGAAUACCAUAUGGGGUGUAAGCGGCUGCCCCCAGGAGGACUUCCCUUCAAAACAGAGCAUUCCUUUUCACAAAGACAUGCAGCUACCAAAGUUGCACUGAAUCUGCCACUACUAUAUGCCUCCUUGGCUAACAAUGAAUUAUUAGGAUCAAUAAAGAGAUCAUCUUUAUGGUUCUCAAUAAAGUGGGUUUCCACAUUGCCAUCUUCAAAAGAUCUAUGGUUAGCAAGUUUUUGGAGAAAAUUGAUAUUAGUUGGCACUCCUGCGACCUGAA